Molecule: non-coding RNA, 1632 nt
Filed under: Drosophila willistoni
Lineage: Eukaryota; Metazoa; Arthropoda; Insecta; Diptera; Drosophilidae
Description: Eukaryotic large subunit ribosomal RNA
Rfam family: Eukaryotic large subunit ribosomal RNA
Source: Rfam by way of RNAcentral
GGUUCCAAUUCCGUAACCUGUUGAGUAUCCGUUGUUAUUAAAUAUGGGCGUCGUGCUCAUCCUGCAACAGAAUGACCAUAAAGAAGCCGUCGAGAGGUAUCGGAAGAGUUUUUUUUUCUGUUUUAUAGCCGUACUACCAUGGAAGUCUUUCGCAGAGAGAUAUGGUAGAUGGGCUAGAAGAGCAUGACAUAUACUGUUGUGUCGAUAUUUUCUCCUCGGACCUUGAAAAUUUAUGGUGGGGAUACGCAAACUUCUCAACAGGCCGUACCAAUAUCCGCAGCUGGUCUCCAAGGUGAAGAGUCUCUAGUCGAUAGAAUAAUGUAGGUAAGGGAAGUCGGCAAAUUAGAUCCGUAACUUCGGGAUAAGGAUUGGCUCUGAAGAUUGAGAUAGUCGGGCUUGAUUGGGAAACAAUAACAUGGUUUAUGUGCUCGUUCUGGGUAAAUAGAGUUUCGAUCAUUUAUGAAAGUUAUUUGUUCCCCGGAUAGUUAGUUACGUAGCCAAUUGUGGAACUUUCUUGCUAAAACUUUUCAGAAUACUAAUUUUUAAUUAGUUCUUUUAAAUUAUAACGAUUAUCAAUUAACAAUCAAUUCAGAACUGGCACGGACUUGGGAAAUCCGACUGUCUAAUUAAAACAAAGCAUUGUGAUGGCCCUAGCGGGUGUUGACACAAUGUGAUUUCUGCCCAGUGCUCUGAAUUUCAAAGUGAAGAAAUUCAAGUAAGCGCGGGUCAACGGCGGGAGUAACUAUGACUCUCUUCCACAUCUUGCAAAAAUACUAUCGUACGCACGGGAGGCGGGUAGCUAGACACAACAGCGUAGUAAAUGCCGUCAAGAAUCACAUUUAUGUGAUAGACGUUCAGAUUGUGACAGACGGACAUUCCUUAGACCAAGCGUCGAAAGGUACGACAGAGCUGACAUAAGAUCACAAAUGCGGCGAUUUUUCGGAGUGACAGGUGAAAUCGAGUUUCAUUCCGUUACACUCAACUGGAGAGGAAUCUGGAGCGGUCAGUCGGUAAAACGAUUGAUUGCAAAAGAUCUCCUCAUCGCUGAAGAUACCAAACUCAUCAGCGUCCGAGCAGUAAAUGGCGGAGUGAUGUCUUUCAAAUAUUUCAUGUAUUGUGCUGGGUAUACUCGAAGCUAGAUGUACUAACCUCUAGUUUCUCUUAUACUUUUGCCUGCUACCUUGGUAUUCCAUCUAAAAAGGUACAAACAUCGCAUUGUCAAAAAGAGGUGGUUUUAGUACGUAGGCGCUGUGGGACUUCAUUGUCCCGAUGAUGCAGCGAAUCGUGCAUACGAGAUUGUCCAGUAGUUGGGUGCUCGUAUCUUUAGAAGAUAGCCAAAUGCCUCGUCAUCUAAUUGGUGACGCGCAUGAAUGGAUUAACGAGAUUCCUACUGUCCCUAUCUACUAUCUAGCGAAACCACAGCCAAGGGAACGGUCUUGGAAUAAUUAGCGGGGAAAGAAGACCCUUUUGAGCUUGACUCUAAUCUGGCAGUGUAAGGAGACAUAAGAGGUGUAGAAUAAGUGGUAGAUGUUAUUCCUUGUGUUUGAUAUCGGCAAUGAAAUACCACUACUCUUAUUGUUUCCUUACUUACUUGAUUAAAUGGAACGUGUACCAUUUCCUAGCCAUUAUACG